GAACUUGAUCGAAUUGGAGAUCGUCAGAGCUCGUAUCACACUAUCAUAAUCAUCUCGGUAUUGUGUGUUUUUCAAAAUGUUUAAACUAUGGCAUGUAUAGAGUCUUAAUCAUUUUGAGUAUGUCCAUAUGAUAUGACUAAGAUUAGUUAUUGAAAUGGUUGAUAAAGAUUAUGUUUUGAUAUUAUGUAUGUGUAAAUGGUAGUUAAUACAAAGAAGCAGUUU
RNAcentral lists this long non-coding RNA (222 nucleotides) under Gossypium barbadense (sea-island cotton). RNAcentral's name for it is "long non-coding RNA (GBAR_LNC015831)". The record is from RNAcentral. Lineage: Eukaryota; Viridiplantae; Streptophyta; Magnoliopsida; Malvales; Malvaceae.